GGCCUAUAGCUCAGUGGUAGAGCACUUGCCUCACACGUUUGAGGCACUGGGUUUGAGCCUCAGCACCA
Molecule: transfer RNA, 68 nt
Filed under: Marmota monax (woodchuck)
Lineage: Eukaryota; Metazoa; Chordata; Mammalia; Rodentia; Sciuridae
Description: tRNA.Val
Source: RNAcentral